CUUGAGCGAUCCCAGCCACAGCGGCGCGGCCUCGCCCCGGCCCUGUCCGUACGUCGCGAUGAGGGCCUGUGCCUC
RNAcentral lists this antisense RNA (75 nucleotides) under Streptomyces regalis. RNAcentral describes it as "ASpks TB sRNA". It matches the Rfam family "ASpks TB sRNA". The record is from Rfam by way of RNAcentral. Lineage: Bacteria; Bacillati; Actinomycetota; Actinomycetes; Kitasatosporales; Streptomycetaceae.